RNAcentral lists this ribosomal RNA (494 nucleotides) under uncultured bacterium. Its description in RNAcentral is "partial 16S ribosomal RNA". It matches the Rfam family "Bacterial small subunit ribosomal RNA", at positions 28 to 507 of the family's 1533-position model. The record is from RNAcentral.
GACGAACGCUGGCGGCGUGCUUAACACAUGCAAGUCGAACGGAAAGGCCUGGUUUUUGUUGUGGAUUCCGGGUACGCGAGUGGCGAACGGGCGAGUGACACGUGAGUGUUCUGCCCCGAACUUGGGUAUAAGCCCGGGAAACUAGGUCUAAUUCCCUAUAGGACUGCAGGGUGGUGUCUGUGGUGGCGAACGUUUUUCUAGUGGUUGGGGAUGAGCUGGCGGCGUAUCAGGUUGUUGGUGGGGUAAUGGCCUACAAAGGCGGCGACUGGUAGCCGGCCUGGGAGGGUCGACGGCGAAAUUGGGACUGGGACACGGCGCAGACGCCUACGGGCAGCAGCAGUGGGGAAGAAUGGGCAAUGAGCGGAAGGCUGAUGCGGCGAGGCCGCGUGGGGGAUGACGGGAUCGGGGUUGUAAACUCCUUGCGACCGACAGAAAGCCACCUGGUUGGAAGGGUGGUGACGGUAGUGGUAGAAGAAGCACCGGCUAACUACGUG